UACAGAGGGUGCAAGCGUUAAUCGGAAUUACUGGGCGUAAAGCGAGCGUAGUCGGUUAUUUAAGUCGGAUGUGAAAUCCCCGGGCUCAACCUAGGAAUUGCAUUCGAUACUGGAUAGCUAGAGUUCGGCAGAGGGAAGCGGAAUUUCGGGUGUAGCGGUGAAAUGCGUAGAUAUCCGAAGGAACAUCAGUGGCGAAAGCGGCUUCCUGGACCAGAACUGACGAUCAGGCUCGAAAGCGUGGGGAGCAAACAGG
RNAcentral lists this ribosomal RNA (253 nucleotides) under uncultured bacterium. Its description in RNAcentral is "partial 16S ribosomal RNA". It matches the Rfam family "Bacterial small subunit ribosomal RNA", at positions 524 to 776 of the family's 1533-position model. The record is from RNAcentral.